Molecule: long non-coding RNA, 145 nt
Organism: Bufo bufo (common toad)
Lineage: Eukaryota; Metazoa; Chordata; Amphibia; Anura; Bufonidae
Exons: 3
Source: RefSeq, a predicted model, not a curated record
CCUCUCUCCUCUAUGUUAGGCAGGGAUAUUCAGGGAAAGUUAGUGGAAGAAAAAAAAAAAAGUUUCUGACUGCAUCACCCUAAAUUGAGUGUCUCGAGUCCACAGCACAGCUGUGUGACCCUAGACCCCCCAGGGGGGCUGCAGC